This 647-nucleotide ribosomal RNA is filed under the name uncultured bacterium. RNAcentral's name for it is "bacterial SSU rRNA". It matches the Rfam family "Bacterial small subunit ribosomal RNA", at positions 183 to 828 of the family's 1533-position model. The record is from RNAcentral.
GGAGGGCAUCCUUCCGGGAUUAGAGGAGCGAUCCGGCUGCGGAUGGUCAUGCGGCGCAUUAGCUUGUUGGCGGGGUAACGGCCCACCAAGGCGACGAUGCGUAGGGGUUCUGAGAGGAAGGUCCCCCACACUGGUACUGAGACACGGACCAGACUCCUACGGGAGGCAGCAGUGAGGAAUAUUGGUCAAUGGCCGGGAGGCUGAACCAGCCAAGUCGCGUGAGGGAAGACGGCCCUACGGGUUGUAAACCUCUUUUGCCGGGGAGCAAAGGGCGGGAUGUGUCCCGCGUCGAGAGUACCCGGAGAAAAAGCAUCGGCUAACUCCGUGCCAGCAGCCGCGGUAAUACGGAGGAUGCGAGCGUUAUCCGGAUUUAUUGGGUUUAAAGGGUGCGCAGGCGGGAUGUCAAGUCAGCGGUAAAAUCGGGAGGCUCAACCUCUCUCAGCCGUUGAAACUGGCGUUCUUGAGUGGGCGAGAAGUAUGCGGAAUGCGUGGUGUAGCGGUGAAAUGCAUAGAUAUCACGCAGAACCCCGAUUGCGAAGGCAGCAUACCGGCGCCCGACUGACGCUCAUGCACGAAAGCGUGGGUAUCGAACAGGAUUAGAUACCCUGGUAGUCCACGCAGUAAACGAUGAAUACACGCUGUGCGGC